This is a long non-coding RNA of Nymphaea colorata (pocket water lily), 581 nucleotides long. RefSeq lists it as uncharacterized. The record is from RefSeq and is a predicted model, not a curated record. Lineage: Eukaryota; Viridiplantae; Streptophyta; Magnoliopsida; Nymphaeales; Nymphaeaceae. The transcript has 2 exons.
CUAGUCAUCAUCCAUCAGUUGGUAUUCACCCUAACUAGUUGCUAUCCACAAUGAAGCAAGUUUCCCUUCCCAUCCUCUUUUUUGCCCUUUCCUUGCUGCUCUCUGUGGCUUUUGCACGUAGUGUGGUUGAAAAACAGGACGAAAAGACUGCAACAGGCGAUAUUAUUUGUGGAGUCAGUUGCCACAAUGGUCGAUGCUGCGGAUAUGGUGAGAGCUGCUGCUCCGGCACUGGAUGCUGCCGAUCAGGUCAAACCUGCUGCGGCCAUCUUCUUUGCUGCGAUCUUAACGAGUAUGAUGCGUUCGUGAAUGCCCACGCCGUCCCUAGCAGGACAGCUGCCCUAGCAAACUGAAACCUUCUCAUCUCUGAUCUGUUAUCAACUUGAUCAUGAUGUUAAUGUGUGGUAACUUAUGGUGUAUCUGAAUAAUAAAGCGAGCGUGCUUAUUGUCUGCUACGACAGCAUGCAUGCUUAUGUACUUCCUACUAGUUUUUGUUGCCUGCAAGAACCAGAACCUGUGUUUUCGUCUUUCCUGCUUGUGUACUUGUGCAAUCCAAAUAAAUGCACCGAAGUUGUGCUUAGUUA